CGAGAUGCAACACAAAUCUAUCCGCUCUCCUCAGAACGAGCUGAGCUUUCAUUGAUAAACCAAUGCGGUUGUCUGCCUCUCCCGAGGCCCCGCGGUCUACUGGUACUCGUUCAAACGGGUAGACAAAUCAAAUAAUAGCCUACACCUGUGUAGGUCCUCAACAUAGCAGAUAUUUUAAUACAUUGAAAGCCAUGAAUACUGAAAAUGGAAUGUUAUGCUCAAAAUCACCGCCGACUGAUGAAGUCAGGAUGCAUACGCAAGUUGAGUAAUUGGCAGCUGGCCGCUCUGUCCAUUCGCGCACCUCACAGUUGCGUAUUGAUCAGACAAGAAGACACGCUUAUCAACUCGAUUACUAUUGAUCAAAACAGAACGAGGGUUCGGCUGUAGCCUAUACUUGAAACCUACUAUUGAGAACAUAUUCACUGACAUGCAUUGCACGCGUGAUGAAUUGUGGCUUAAUGGUGUUUUGAGCCCUCACCGUCGACUUCAAGGCGGCAGCUGCCUGGAAGGCGCUCCUAGCUUUCCACUUUAGAGAAGACGUUGGUUUGAAUUUGAGCAAGCAGCUAGCUAGCAGUUGUCUACACUUGGUUGAAAAUCUAAUUACGGUAGAUUCAUGCUAGCAUUGUGCUAAAUAAUUAGACAGCUAACAUGAAUUAGUGGUGUUAACAUAAAGUCAGUUAUUGUAUAUGGCAUUAAUAUUAUUCUAAAACACCUUCACUAGUUGUUUUAACCAGAUUUGUAAGUAGGUUGAAAACAAAAUUUUUGAAGUAAAGUGCCUUGGUUUAAAACAGCUAAAAGCUAGCUACAUUAAGUUGCUUGCUCAAAUCUCAAAUUCAAACCAACGUCUUCUCUAAAGUGGCAAGCUUGGAGAAGCCUCUGUUCAAUGAUUGGGGGUGGGAGGCGGGAUGCGCCUUCCAGGCAGCUGCUGCCCUGAAGUCGACGGUAAGGGCUCAAAACACCAUUAAGUUGAAUUGCGCCAUGAAUGUUUUUUUUUUUCUUUUUUCCCCAUCACGGACUUUUUUUUUGCCUUAGGCGCUCGGGAUUUGUCAUAGGCGCACGGGAAAACGGCUUAGGCGCGCGCCCAAAUGUUCUCUAUGCAGGAAAAACCCUGCUGAAGGAGUGAUGCAGUGAGGUACGGAGAGACCUAGAGAGCGGCCCCAGGAGGCACAUCAGACGGUUGUGAAAGUGCAGACUGUGGCACAGAUCCGUCCUGUGAGACACUCAGUCUGUUGGAGAACAGAUGGUUCUUUAGAGGUACACACAGAGCAGAGGCGGUUCUUUAGAGAUACACGCAGAGCCGAGGCGGUUCUUUAGUGGAAAACACAGAGCAGAGGCGGUUCUUUAGAGAUGCACACAGAGCCGAGGCGUACAGAGGCCUUAGAAUAACCCGCCAGUAGAUAUGAC
Clupea harengus (Atlantic herring) is the source of this 1404-nucleotide long non-coding RNA. The record is from Ensembl. NCBI's taxonomy places the organism in Eukaryota, Metazoa, Chordata, Actinopteri, Clupeiformes, Clupeidae.